This 427-nucleotide ribosomal RNA is filed under the name uncultured bacterium. RNAcentral describes it as "partial 16S ribosomal RNA". It matches the Rfam family "Bacterial small subunit ribosomal RNA", at positions 354 to 796 of the family's 1533-position model. The record is from RNAcentral.
GUGGGGAAUAUUGGGCAAUGGGGGCAACCCUGACCCAGCGACGCCGCGUGAGGGAAGAAGGCCUUAGGGUCGUAAACCUCUGUUGUGUGGGAAGAAGGAAGUGACGGUACCACACGAGGAAGUCCCGGCUAACUACGUGCCAGCAGCCGCGGUAAUACGUAGGGGACGAGCGUUGUCCGGAAUUACUGGGCGUAAAGGGCGCGUAGGCGGUCAUUUAAGUCAGCUGUGAAAUGGUCCGGCUCAACCGGAUCAUGCGGUUGAAACUGGAUGACUGGAGUGCUGGAGAGGCAAGUGGAAUGCCGAGUGUAGCGGUGAAAUGCGUAGAUAUUGGGAAGAACACCGGUGGCGAAGGCGACUUGCUGGCCAGCAACUGACGCUGAGGCGCGAAAGCCAGGGGAGCAAACGGGAUUAGAAACCCUUGUAGUCC